This 384-nucleotide ribosomal RNA is filed under the name uncultured Finegoldia sp. Its description in RNAcentral is "bacterial SSU rRNA". It matches the Rfam family "Bacterial small subunit ribosomal RNA", at positions 74 to 458 of the family's 1533-position model. The record is from RNAcentral. Lineage: Bacteria; Bacillati; Bacillota; Tissierellia; Tissierellales; Peptoniphilaceae.
GGUGGAAGAUUACUAAUGAGAGUGGCGAACGGGUGAGUAACGCGUGAGCAACCUGCCUAUGACAGUGGGAUAGCCUCGGGAAACCGGGAUUAAUACCGCAUAAAAUCGUAGAAACACAUGUUUCAACGGUCAAAGAUUUAUCGGUCAUAGAUGGGCUCGCGUCUGAUUAGCUAGUUGGUGAGAUAACAGCCCACCAAGGCGACGAUCAGUAGCCGGUCUGAGAGGAUGAACGGCCACAUUGGAACUGAGACACGGUCCAAACUCCUACGGGAGGCAGCAGUGGGGAAUAUUGCACAAUGGGGGAAACCCUGAUGCAGCGACGCCGCGUGAACGAAGAAGGUAUUCGUAUCGUAAAGUUCUGUCCUAUGGGAAGAUAAUGACAGU